UCUGAAAAUACAAGGGUACAGAUUUCAAAUGCAUGGUGGUUGGAACAUUAAGUCCUACAAAAUGAUCUUAGGGAUUUGAUAUUAAUUUCUAUUAGAAAUGCCUUUCCAAGGGGAACCAGGAUUACAUCUCUGGGUUCUGAUACUUUGUGUCUGUGGGGCUCUGAGCUCGAUCCUGGGCACCAACAAAACAACACAGAACAGAGACCAACAAGGAACACUAAAUUGCUUUAAAAUUGCUCUUUUUUUCCCGAUACAUUCAUCAGAAGCAAUUAUUUUCCAACUAUGACUAACAAAGUGUUUUUCUCUUCCCUUCCUUUUAUAACCAACAUAUUAGAAAGUAGAUAAAAAACAUAAAUCUGGGCACUUUUUUUUUCUACCUAUUUCUCCCUUCUCCAAAGGAAAUAAGGAGAAUUUUCUAAUUCAAUUCUGUCACAGAGAAAGCUGGUUUCUGAGAAGUAAAUCGGAAAAACACUGUUACAUAACUAUUUGGAGGAGUAUUUUGAGGUUAUAAACCAUAUGUUUAAUGAGUUUUAUAUGUAAAAUACUCAUAAACUUUUAAAUUUGUUUCAACGAUUAUAUAGCUGUUUGGUUUAGUUGCUAAUUUGUAACUACUGUGUGCUCCAUUUCCUGACUGCCAAAAUGUAUCAUCCUCCCAACAUUUCAAGUGAACCUUGUACCAUUGUGGGGAUCUCAGCCUCCACAGCCUUGGCCCUUCCCCCCUCCCUGCUAUAAUCAAUAUUAAAAGCUGCAAAGCCCCUUCCUGUGCUCUAAUUUAUUUCUGUUGGAGCCUGUGAUCAGCAGUCCACUUCCCUCUGAACUUCAAGCUCUGUAGUGGUCUGCACCCAGGAAGCCAACCUUCCCAGGAGGAAAGAUGGGCUAAUCAAUCUUUUGAAAUCAGUAACAACAACAAAAACAAUGCUAUGUCCCAUGUGGAAGAGAACACAAGCUCAAUGUGAGUCACAUGGCUAUAGAACCGGACACUACUCAAAAUGCUCCUGCAAUGAUCCAAGCCACUGGGCUCUCAUCACUCACUACUUUUUCAGAAAGAGGCAGCCAAUGAGGGCAGAGCUGAGCUGCUAUUGAAAGCAUCAGUCUACGUGCAGUGAGAUCACACACGAUGGACGGGAUUAAUUCAGUUUUUAUGGAAGUGAUGUUUGGGGUGGAUAUUCCACAGGUGUCGGGAGAUACUGGAAGGAAGGAGACAGAAGAGCUCUACAGAGGAGGAAUGGAGGAGUGAGGGAAACAAAGGACAUGGUGCAUGAGAGAGCAACGUGCUUGGAACACUGGGAGAAAGACUUGUGAUGAGGCAAGGAACCAAGGAGGGCGCUGGUUCCCAGAAUGCUAUCGGAAGGCACAAAGCACUUCUUUUUGAUAGUCUAUCUUUGUGUUUUUAUUCUUAAAUUCAGUCACAGAAUUUCAGAGCGAGAUUAUUGUCAAUCAUGUUUCAUUCUUCACAAUCCAGAGCAAAGGCAACACCUCCUCUGCAGGCUGCUGUGUGCUCUCUAUGAUCACUCACAAUGCUGCAUCUCCCACAAGUCACUUCUCUAUCGUCCUGUUCUUAGCAGCUUUCUUCUUUACGUCCGUGUCAUUAUGGAACAGCACUCAGCCCACAGUUUUUUAAUUGUGGGUUUUCUUGUGUGUUUCCCCAUUAUAUUGUACAAAGGCUUGGUUAUUACUCUUUCUUUUAUUCUGUUUGGAAUCCAGCGUAUCAUAGUCCAUCUCCUAAAAGCAGUGCUAGAAGGCACAGCUAUGAAAAACUCUUCAUCACACUGUUUUUAAAAAUUAUAUAAGCCAGGGAAGAAACAUAUUACUUCUUUCAGGCAAACUCCAAAGUUUCCUGCUUGGAGCAGAUUGACAGUGUUUAUUUCAAGCGAGGCAUCCCCAUCCGUCCUUUCCCCUAGAGCAGUGGUUCUCAACCUUCCUAAUGCUGUGACCCUUUAAUACAGUCCCUCGUGUUGUGGUGACCCCAACCAUAAAAAUCAUUUCAUUGCUGCUUCAUAACUGUAAUUUUGCUACUGUUAUGAAUCAUGAUAUAAGUAUCUGAUGUGCAGGAUAUCUGCUAUGUGAUCCCUGUGAGAGGAUCUUUUGACCCCAGGGGGCUUUGUGACCCAUAGGUUGAGAAGCAUUACCCUAGAAGCCAUCUCAUUUUAAACAAGCCCUGUGUUACCUAGUGCAUGCCUUAAAUAAACCUUUGGUUUUAAAUUGAGACUAAGCAACAUUUUGAAAGCAUGUUUUUAUAACAUACUUUAAUAUUUGCCUUUGUCCAAUCAAAUUCUUAAUGGCCCCAAAAUCAAGAAAAUAAUAUGGUAAAGCAAAGGCCUGAAAGUUCACAUUUGAAUAGCUAAAAGCCACAUUAUUGAUUUAGAAAGAAUCCCUGUAUUGACACUUUCUGUUAUAUAAGGCUGUACUAAUAAAUACAACUUUUCAAAGACUGCUAUGGCAAAACCUCAAAUCAUACACAGUGGUGACUAAUGGUUUGCUUAUUGUUACUACUAGAUUGUUUUAGCACAAUUACUCCAGUAAAUGUUUUCUAAGAGCAUAUUAAAGCCCAGCCACUUAAAAUUAAAUUGAUAAAGUAAAUGCUGCUGUCUGCUUCAUC
Peromyscus maniculatus bairdii (prairie deer mouse) is the source of this 2599-nucleotide non-coding RNA. The record is from RefSeq and is a predicted model, not a curated record. NCBI's taxonomy places the organism in Eukaryota, Metazoa, Chordata, Mammalia, Rodentia, Cricetidae.